CCGAAGGAUCAUUAACGAGUUUUAAUUGUUAGGUUAGAGUUGAGCUGGUUAAUCUAAUUAAUAUGUGCUUACUCUAAUCGAAACAAGUCCACUCAUUACUUAACACUUGUGAACUUAUUCAUUACAAACAUUAUUAUUUGUUAUUGGAACGUUUGAUUAUUAACCAGUUAAUACAACUUUCAACAACGGAUCUCUUGGCUCUCGCAUCGAUGAAGAACGCAGCGAAAUGCGAUAAGUAAUGUGAAUUGCAGAAUUCAGUGAAUCAUCGAAUCUUUGAACGCACCUUGCGCUCCCUGGUAUUCCGGGGAGCAUGCCUGUUUGAGUGUCGUGAAGUUAUCAUGGUCAUGAUCUUUAAUUAAUCAUGGCUUGGAUUUGGAGGUUUAUGUUGGCUUUCUUAAGUUGACUCCUCUUAAAUGUAUUAGCUCGGUGUCUUAAUACUUAGAGCGGUUCACGGUGUGAUAAUUAUCUACACUUCAACUAAUCUAUUC
Molecule: ribosomal RNA, 488 nt
Filed under: Resinicium sp. ASR-290
Lineage: Eukaryota; Fungi; Basidiomycota; Agaricomycetes; Hymenochaetales
Description: eukaryotic LSU rRNA
Rfam family: 5.8S ribosomal RNA (bases 175-328)
Source: RNAcentral